AACGAACGCUGGCGGCGCGCCUAAUACAUGCAAGUCGAGCGAGAAGACGUAGCAAUACGUUUGUAAAGCGGCGAACGGGUGAGGAAUACAUGGGUAACCUACCCUCGAGUGGGGAAUAACUAGCCGAAAGGUUAGCUAAUACCGCGUACGCUCCUUGGACUUCGGUUCAGGGAGGAAAGCGAUACCGUGGGUAUCGCGCUCUUGGAUGGGCUCAUGUCCUAUCAGCUUGUUGGUGAGGUAACGGCUCACCAAGGCUUCGACGGGUAGCUGGUCUGAGAGGACAAUCAGCCACACUGGCACUGCGACACGGGCCAGACUCCUACGGGAGGCAGCAGUAAGGAUAUUGCGCAAUGGGCGAAAGCCUGACGCAGCGACGCCGCGUGGGGGAU
RNAcentral lists this ribosomal RNA (389 nucleotides) under uncultured bacterium. RNAcentral's name for it is "bacterial SSU rRNA". It matches the Rfam family "Bacterial small subunit ribosomal RNA", at positions 29 to 409 of the family's 1533-position model. The record is from RNAcentral.